This is a long non-coding RNA of Bactrocera oleae (olive fruit fly), 5257 nucleotides long. RefSeq lists it as uncharacterized. Lineage: Eukaryota; Metazoa; Arthropoda; Insecta; Diptera; Tephritidae. The record is from RefSeq and is a predicted model, not a curated record.
UAUUUUUAAAAUUACAUAAUUUUAUUAGAAUGUUGGAUAAUAUUCAUAUCAAUAAAUAUGAUUGCAUAUACGCGUAUAAAAAUAUAAGCCAAAAGAGUAACAUGCGGCUGUUAAAUCAACGCAAGUCUCUGAGCAUAAUUUUUAUUCAAUGCUCAGCUCUGUUCACUCGUCACUGUUAAAAUUUCUCCUUCCGAGCCGACUGUGGUGAAACACGCUCAUCGCAUUUUGUUAGGUUUUGACAAUUCAGACGCUGGUCCGUAGUUGGACCUUCUCUAUAUUUUACGUUCUCUGCUCAUAUAGUAAAUUUUUAACAAAAGUUCGCUAAUAGAACAUUCUGGCAACUACGAACUCGCUGUCUAGUUGCUUCUGGCAGUUUAUCGUCGAUUCUGAUUUGUUCUGGUAUUCGUGUUCGCCACAAUUUUGAAUCGAUUCUUUGUAAAACUUUUCCAUCUCUAGGACGAACGCAAGAAGGAUCUGUAUGUCGUUUAUGGUGAAAAGAUUUACUACCGAUCGAAAACACUAGUGUGUCGUGUAUGGCUAUUUUUAUCAUAUAGAAUAGUUCCCCGAAUAAAUAUCCUGAUAACCGUUGCUGGCAGUAAACUCUGCUUCUAGGACUUUACCUUUGACCCUACAACCCAUCUAGCGGUUAAGGGCUGAUUCACAUGGAACCUUCCUCGCUUUACUUGACAAUUAAUACAUUAACAACGAAGUGAAAAAGGAAAGGGCAGAAAGAUCGCUUUUCUUUAGGUCUGAUGCAAAGCGAAAAGCACAAAAAAAAGUAUUGCGCGCUUAUCACCCUAUAUGUGAAGAAUGCGUUCAACUCCGUCAAAUAGGCCAAUAUGUAUAAUGAAAGCUAUAUACGAAAUACGCGCUCUGCAAUAUCUUGCAGAUAUUAUAAAGAGCUAUUUCGAAAUGUUUUUCGACACAGACGAGUGCACUCAGAGCUUCUUUAUCUCGAGUGGAGUAUCGCAAGGCUCGGUCUUGGACUCUCUACUAUGGAACCUGAUUUACGACGGGUGCUAAGAAAACAGCAACCACGAAACAUGUAAACGAUCGCAUAUGCGGAUGACAGCAUGAAGUAUUUGGGAGUAAUAUUGGACUCCAAACUAAAAUUUAAAGAACACCUGGCGCAUACUUCCGAUAAAGUUAACAUAUUCCAUAAUGCUCUUUCGAGAAUGAUGGCUAAUGGUGGCUGCGUGCGUUCUAGCCGGCGAAUUUUAUCUUAGCUAGUUAUUUAAAGCUUUCUAAUUUUUGUAAAACAUUUUAUAACCACAACAAAUGACCAUAGGAUACUAUUACCAACGGCAAUGAAAACAAAUGUAACAAAAGGUUGACAAUAGAUGUUACCUGUGAAGAGGCCACGUAACACCUUAUUAUUAUAGGCACUAAUACGAUCAUUCUCGCUUCUUCCCUGCAAGGAGCCCAAAAUCCUAACUAUCUCCUAUAUGAAACCUAAAACGUAUCUUCAGCAACCAUUUUUGUAACCGUGCCUUGGCAAGAACAAAUACACUUUGCUGGCCACUUACAAGGCAAUCGGCUGACUGGUCAUAAACUACGCAGCAAUGGUCGACUGUGUGCAACAGACGCAGUUAAAGAACAUGCAAGCUUCUCAGCAUUCACUUCAUUGCACUCUGGACAAACUGGAUGUCUCUUUAUGUCUCCUAUUGAACAUCUGCACAGUAUGUUCCAGGUUAAGGAACACAAUGCACUUAUCUUCAAGCAGUUCUUCUGGGAUGCCCUCACAGAUAAUAUCAAGAGAAUUUUCGGACACGACAAACUUCAGAUAAAUACUGAAUGCCAUUUGCAGGGGAGCUAUCAACAUCUAUAUUGCGUCUUUUCCACAGAAUGGCGUCCUAGAAGUCGAAAAACAACCUACGGUAGAUCUUGUGCUCAAGUUUCUUCGUGAAAUCAAACUUGCGCUCCUUCGUUCUGGUUAUUGUAGUAGAUUAAACUUCUACCUAUCCAGAAAUGAUCAUGACAUACUAAACAUAUGCUCUGUAAAAAGCAUAAUACUAACCCCCUUUUUACAUGCCCCACCAUACUAAACAUACCCUCUGUAAAAAGCAUAUAAUACUAACCCCAUUUUUACAUGCCCCACCAAACUUACUCACCUUUCCCUAUGGUUCGACCACAAUUUCAAAAUUUUUUGGAAAAAUUCUUUUUGUUAAGAGUACAUUUGGGUGUAGAUUACCACAUACUAAAUACACAAACACUACCAAGAGAGCAAUGCGAUUUGGUGUGCCCAUACUCUUAGCAGUUAAUGCAUUGAAUCUGACAAUUUCAUUUAUGGAUUUUUUUAACGGUAAUUCAACGGUGGACGUGAUAUUUUAAAUUGUAUAUGAGAUGUGUUUAAUAUCAUUGAAGUCUACCGAAGACUCUAUGUCUAUGUGAAAACUAUUUGUGCUAGCUUAGACACAAUAGCAAUAGAGAUGUGCUCGUGUUCAAAUACUUCAAAUGUACCUAGCAACAAGCCAUGUGUACCACAUAAAUCUAUACAUAUACAAGCUACAUCUUGUCGCAAUCAACGCGCAGAAAUAAUGUAGUUUUGCUAUACGUCCAUUUUUAUACUUGAAGUGCACUAAUAAAGAACGCUCGCCAGUGUUGAGCACAAGUAUAUUUUACAAACCAUUCCAAAGUAGAAGAAAAAUUGGCUCUUAAGGUGGUGCUGCAAUAGAAAAUCAAGAAUUCAAAACAAAAUCCCUUGCAAAUUGCAGCACAAAAAAGGUCAUAGUCCUCCAAAUACAAAAAAGUACAUAAUUGUAUUUUGCCGUCGGCAUUUCACAUUCAUGCUACUUGUUACUUUUCUCAACCAAGGAAUUGCUGUAAAAAAUUGAAAGAAUUGCGUUUAGCCGUCGGCAUUUCACAUUCCUGCUUCAAUUUUUUUUUCAACUAGGGAAUUCUAUAUGCAAAAGUAAUUAUGUAUGUAAAUAUGUACUUCUUUGUUUCGUUUCGGCCCAUUUUACAAUUUUUAGAUCUUUUGAUAAUAGUUUUAUUUUACAAAUAUUUUAAAAAUUUAAAUUAAUUUAAUUAAUGUGUAUACAAACAUGUAUUUGAAUUUUUAAUAAAAUAUUUGUUGCUCAAAAGUCUAUUUUAUUUCAAUAUUAAUUUCAGUUAAUUUUCCUAGAGAAAUUUGACUAUCGUAGAAACAGAUAUGCAAAUGGACAUACAUACAUUGUACAAUAUAUUAUGACGUUUGCACAUUUGUCUGUUUAUUUCUGAAAGCAAAUGUUCUUCAAAAGCAUAUUUCUGCGGUCUUAAAAAAUUUUUUGAACAUCAUAUAUUUCUUAAAUGAAUAAUCAAACCAUAAUUAAGACAACACAAUUCAUCACCAACCGUGGUCUGAUUUGUAAACGCUUAAAGAGUCAUCGAUGAGUGCCCAGAUUCGAAUCGCAGCGGAAUUUAUUUUCCAUUUCUUGAUUUUUAUUUUUCAAAUAGAAUAAAUUGUAUAAUUAGAAUAUUUAAUAGUUUUGCAAUUUUUGUUCAGCUGCCGACACUGUUGCGUCAUUUCUUAUUAAAUUCAGAAAAAUACCAUUAUAAAUUUUUGCCAUCGUCGCGAAAAAUAGUUUGUAGGCAGCGACGCUUGUGCGGGAAGCAGAGUUGAAAGGCAUGUUUUUGCUGUUUUUGAUUCAUUCAUGUUUUUGAUUGUUUUGUAGAGACAUAAUCGUAUGAUUGUAUGUUUGUUUGUAUAUAUACAUAUUUAUGUUUGUGUGAUUGGGAUUGAACAAGGGACUCUCUGGCGAUCUGAUUUUACAAAUUUUUCAACACAAAAAAUAUUUCAUAAUUACACACAUGUGAAGUGGCAUUUUUAUUUUCCGUUCAAAGACUUUUAUGUUUCUUUUUAUGCAUGCAGACAGAUUCUCUGCAAGUUAAUAGUCGCUUUGUACAUAUUUCUGCCAGAGAGCAUUCUCAUCUCUGCUAAAUAGCGGCGAAUACCACAGAAAAUGGUGAGUUGCCUGCUCGGAAUUUUUCAGCUCUGUUAGCCGUCCAAUGGAACAUCAUACAAAAUUCAAUUUAUCCUCCUCGUUAAUUUAUAUUCUCUGGUAUAACUUUGUAAGCCGAAGUAAAAAUACCGGAGCUCUGUGUUUGCGUAACUAUUUUAUUAUUUCGGGAAUUCAAACAACUGUAUAGUAAGUUUAUUUAUAUAAUUGUUCUGUCUUUUAUAUAAAUAAACCGCCGGAGUAAUUUUGAAGAAAUAGUUGAGAAAUUGAUUCUAAUAUGAGUGAUUUAGAUUCAGAUCAUUUUUAUUUGCAAUCCAACCAAGUCGCCGAAUCAGAAAUUAAUGCAGAAAGUGACGAAAUCGAAUAUCCACACUAUGCUGAUGUUCAAUGUACCAGCUAUUUGUAUGGUUUUUUAAUGGUCUCUAUGGUCAAAUAGUCAGUACUUUACCCCUCACAGGCUUUCAAUUAAAUGUUUUUUUUUUCUCAUUUAAAAUCUUAGAUUAUUGUUCUGAGGUUAUUAUAUUUUUUAAUAUAUUUAUAUUACUUUUAAAAUAAGAAAAUUCUAUCUUUCGUUUAAAUGUUAUUACAAUAAAAAAUCAUUAAUUUUACAGCUUAGGCCAGAGCUAGCAACCCUAGACAAACAUAAAAAGCGCAUAACAUUUUUAUUUUCCAAUUGCUAUACAUACAUAUAUUUUUCAAAUUUAGUACAAUCACAUCAGCUUGCUCGGAAAGAGAAAUUUGAUUAGUGGCGCGUAAACAGAGCUAAGUAUUGAGUAAAAAUUAUGCUCAAAAAUAUAUAUUGCUAUCACAGACGUAUGUUAGACCUUUUGCUUAUAUUUUUAUACGUUUAUAUGCAAUCACAUGCAUUGAUAUAAAAUUCCUUAUGUGAAUAGCUAUGAAAGCAUGUUGAUAUAAUUGAUUACAUUUUAAUUAAAUUAUACUGAAUAUUUCAAAGGAAUAUAUGUAGUGAAUGUGAAAAUAAGACAUAUUUUUUAAAUAAAUAUUUCUUAUGUUUGAUAAUAUAAUAUAUACAGGCUAUGUGUAUACUAUAUACAUAAUAUUCUAUCAUAAUAUACUAAAAAAGUAAAUAUAUUGCACUAGUAAUUUAUAUUAAUAAUAUCUUUCAUCAUUUAAAACGUGUAAACGCUGUCACUCAUUCAAAUCACCAUAUUAUCACUUCUCGGCUCUAUAUGUACAUAUGUGAGUAUUUUUUUUUUUUUUUUGGCGAGAUGUGAAAAAAUUAUCGAAAGACACUGUUGCCCUUACAACAGUAGUGUGAGACUUUAAACCACUAAAAAAAUAAAAACAUCUCAAGAACA